CCUGAGGAGGAAGCCACGGCUAACUACGUGCCAGCAGCCGCGGUAAUACGUAGGUGGCAAGCGUUGUCCGGAUUUACUGGGCGUAGGGAGCGUAUCAGGAUUAGAUACCCUGGUAGUCGCCGUAAACGAUGUCGACUUGGAGGCCCGAGGCGUGGCUUCCGGAGCUAACGCGUAAGUCGACCGCCUGGGGAGUACGGCCGCAAGGUUAAAACUCAAAUGAAUUAACGGGGGCCGCACAAGCGGUGGAGCAUGUGGUUUAAUUCGAUGCAACGCGAAGAACCUUACCUACUCUUGCAUCCAGAGAAUCAGAGAUGGAUUGGUGCCUUCGGGAACUCUGAGACAGGUGCUGCAUGGCUGUCGUCAGCUCGUGUUGUGAAAUGUUGGGUUAAGUCCCGCAACGAGCGCAACCCUUAUCCUUUGUUGCCAGCGGUUCGGCCGGGAACUCAAAGGAGACUGCCAGUGAUAAACUGGAGGAAGGUG
RNAcentral lists this ribosomal RNA (480 nucleotides) under Enterobacteriaceae bacterium. RNAcentral's name for it is "bacterial SSU rRNA". It matches the Rfam family "Bacterial small subunit ribosomal RNA", at positions 478 to 1175 of the family's 1533-position model. The record is from RNAcentral. Lineage: Bacteria; Pseudomonadati; Pseudomonadota; Gammaproteobacteria; Enterobacterales; Enterobacteriaceae.